RNAcentral lists this ribosomal RNA (160 nucleotides) under uncultured bacterium. RNAcentral describes it as "partial 16S ribosomal RNA". The record is from RNAcentral.
CACGUAGUUAGCCGGUGCUUAUUCUUCAGGUACCGUCAUCCUCCCGGGGUAUUAGCCCAGAAGAUUUCUUCCCUGACAAAAGCAGUUUACAACCCGAAGGCCUUCUUCCUGCACGCGGCAUUGCUGGAUCAGGCUUGCGCCCAUUGUCCAAAAUUCCCCA